This 475-nucleotide ribosomal RNA is filed under the name uncultured organism. RNAcentral describes it as "partial 16S ribosomal RNA". It matches the Rfam family "Bacterial small subunit ribosomal RNA", at positions 334 to 800 of the family's 1533-position model. The record is from RNAcentral.
CACUCCUUCGGGAGGCAGCAGUGGGGAAUUUUGGACAAUGGGCGAAAGCCUGAUCCAGCAAUGCCGCGUGAGUGAAGAAGGCCUUCGGGUUGUAAAGCUCUUUUGUCAGGGAAGAAACGGUGAAAGCUAAUAUCUUUUGCUAAUGACGGUACCUGAAGAAUAAGCACCGGCUAACUACGUGCCAGCAGCCGCGGUAAUACGUAGGGUGCAAGCGUUAAUCGGAAUUACUGGGCGUAAAGCGUGCGCAGGCGGUUUUGUAAGUCUGAUGUGAAAUCCCCGGGCUCAACCUGGGAAUUGCAUUGGAGACUGCAAGGCUAGAAUCUGGCAGAGGGGGGUAGAAUUCCACGUGUAGCAGUGAAAUGCGUAGAUAUGUGGAGGAACACCGAUGGCGAAGGCAGCCCCCUGGGUCAAGAUUGACGCUCAUGCACGAAAGCGUGGGGAGCAAACAGGAUUAGAAACCCCGGUAGUCCCAUGA